Molecule: ribosomal RNA, 469 nt
Filed under: uncultured bacterium
Lineage: Bacteria
Description: partial 16S ribosomal RNA
Rfam family: Bacterial small subunit ribosomal RNA
Source: RNAcentral
GAUGAACGCUGGCGGCGUGCUUAACACAUGCAAGUCGAACGGUGAACACGGAGCUUGCUCUGUGGGAUCAGUGGCGAACGGGUGAGUAACACGUGAGCAACCUGCCCCUGACUCUGGGAUAAGCGCUGGAAACGGCGUCUAAUACUGGAUAUGUGACGUGACCGCAUGGUCUGCGUUUGGAAAGAUUUUUCGGUUGGGGAUGGGCUCGCGGCCUAUCAGCUUGUUGGUGAGGUAAUGGCUCACCAAGGCGUCGACGGGUAGCCGGCCUGAGAGGGUGACCGGCCACACUGGGACUGAGACACGGCCCAGACUCCUACGGGAGGCAGCAGUGGGGAAUAUUGCACAAUGGGCGCAAGCCUGAUGCAGCAACGCCGCGUGAGGGAUGACGGCCUUCGGGUUGUAAACCUCUUUUAGCAGGGAAGAAGCGAAAGUGACGGUACCUGCAGAAAAAGCGCCGGCUAACUACGUG